GACGAACGCUGGCGGCGUGCUUAACACAUGCAAGUCGAACGGAAAGGCCCUGCGUUUGUGGGGUGCUCGAGUGGCGAACGGGUGAGUAACACGUGAGUAACCUGCCCUUGACUUUGGGAUAACUUCAGGAAACUGGGGCUAAUACCGGAUAGGAGCUCCUGCUGCAUGGUGGGGGUUGGAAAGUUUCGGCGGUUGGGGAUGGACUCGCGGCUUAUCAGCUUGUUGGGGGGGUAGUGGCUUACCAAGGCUUUGACGGGUAGCCGGCCUGAGAGGUUGACCGGCCACAUUGGGACUGAGAUACGGCCCAGACUCCUACGGGAGGCAGCAGUGGGGAAUAUUGCACAAUGGGCGGAAGCCUGAUGCAGCAACGCCGCGUGCGGGAUGACGGCCUUCGGGUUGUAAACCGCUUUCGCCUGUGACGAAGCGUGAGUGACGGUAAUGGGUAAAGAAGCACCGGCUAACUACGUG
RNAcentral lists this ribosomal RNA (468 nucleotides) under uncultured bacterium. Its description in RNAcentral is "partial 16S ribosomal RNA". It matches the Rfam family "Bacterial small subunit ribosomal RNA", at positions 28 to 507 of the family's 1533-position model. The record is from RNAcentral.